RNAcentral lists this ribosomal RNA (253 nucleotides) under uncultured bacterium. RNAcentral's name for it is "partial 16S ribosomal RNA". It matches the Rfam family "Bacterial small subunit ribosomal RNA", at positions 524 to 776 of the family's 1533-position model. The record is from RNAcentral.
UACGAAGGGGGCUAGCGUUGUUCGGAAUCACUGGGCGUAAAGCGUACGUAGGCGGAUCGUUAAGUCAGGGGUGAAAGCCCGAGGCUCAACCUCGGAACUGCCUUUGAUACUGGCGAUCUCGAGUCCGGGAGAGGUGAGUGGAACUGCGAGUGUAGAGGUGAAAUUCGUAGAUAUUCGCAAGAACACCAGUGGCGAAGGCGGCUCACUGGCCCGGUACUGACGCUGAGGUGCGAAAGCGUGGGGAGCAAACAGG